GCCGGGCGUGGUGGCACGCGCCUGUAGUCCCAGCUACUCGGGAGGCUGAGGUGGGAGGAUCGCUUGAGUCCAGGAGUUCUGGGCUGCAGUGCGCUAUGCCGAUCGAGUGUCCGCACUAAGUUCGGCAUCAAUAUGGUGACCUCCCGGGAGCGGGGGACCACGAGGUUGCCUAAGGAAGGGUGAACCGGCCCAGGUCGGAAACGGAGCAGGUCAAAACUCCCGUGCUGAUCAGUAGUGGGAUCGCGCCUGUGAAUAGCCACUGUACUCCAGCCUGGGCAACAUUGUGAGACCUUGUCUCUU
Unclassified non-coding RNA from Heterocephalus glaber (naked mole-rat), 300 nucleotides. It matches the Rfam family "Metazoan signal recognition particle RNA". Rfam says of the family: The signal recognition particle (SRP) is a universally conserved ribonucleoprotein. It is involved in the co-translational targeting of proteins to membranes. The record is from Ensembl. NCBI's taxonomy places the organism in Eukaryota, Metazoa, Chordata, Mammalia, Rodentia, Bathyergidae.